UACGGAGGGUGCGAGCGUUAAUCGGAAUAACUGGGCGUAAAGGGCACGCAGGCGGUGACUUAAGUGAGGUGUGAAAGCCCCGGGCUUAACCUGGGAAUUGCAUUUCAUACUGGGUCGCUAGAGUACUUUAGGGAGGGGUAGAAUUCCACGUGUAGCGGUGAAAUGCGUAGAGAUGUGGAGGAAUACCGAAGGCGAAGGCAGCCCCUUGGGAAUGUACUGACGCUCAUGUGCGAAAGCGUGGGGAGCAAACAGGAUUAGAAACCCGUGUAGUCC
This 273-nucleotide ribosomal RNA is filed under the name uncultured Haemophilus sp. Its description in RNAcentral is "partial 16S ribosomal RNA". It matches the Rfam family "Bacterial small subunit ribosomal RNA", at positions 524 to 796 of the family's 1533-position model. Lineage: Bacteria; Pseudomonadati; Pseudomonadota; Gammaproteobacteria; Pasteurellales; Pasteurellaceae. The record is from RNAcentral.